This is a long non-coding RNA of Salvia splendens (bonfire salvia), 179 nucleotides long. RefSeq lists it as uncharacterized. The transcript has 3 exons. NCBI's taxonomy places the organism in Eukaryota, Viridiplantae, Streptophyta, Magnoliopsida, Lamiales, Lamiaceae. The record is from RefSeq and is a predicted model, not a curated record.
UGCAUUCUCACAAUCUGGUCUUUACUCCAAUCACCAAGAUAUUGGGCCGCGUUAUGCUGGAGUACUGCUUGGAUUAUCCAACACUGCAGGCGUACUUGCUGGUGUCUUUGGGACUGCUGCAACCGGAUACAUUCUUCAACAUGGUUCUUGGAAUGACGUGUUCAAAGUGGAGAGAAAAU